UUUAGGAAAAGAAAAU
This 16-nucleotide small RNA is filed under the name Arabidopsis thaliana (thale cress). Its description in RNAcentral is "ATSL147630". Lineage: Eukaryota; Viridiplantae; Streptophyta; Magnoliopsida; Brassicales; Brassicaceae. The record is from RNAcentral.